Molecule: ribosomal RNA, 253 nt
Filed under: uncultured bacterium
Lineage: Bacteria
Description: partial 16S ribosomal RNA
Rfam family: Bacterial small subunit ribosomal RNA
Source: RNAcentral
UACGUAGGGGGCAAGCGUUGUCCGGAAUCAUUGGGCGUAAAGAGCGUGUAGGCGGCUCGGUAAGUCCGCUGUGAAAGUCCAGGGCUCAACCCUGGAAUGCCGGUGGAAACUGUCGAGCUAGAGUCCGGAAGAGGCGAGUGGAAUUCCUGGUGUAGCGGUGAAAUGCGCAGAUAUCAGGAGGAACACCGGUGGCGAAGGCGGCUCACUGGCUCAUUACUGACGCUCAGGCGCGAUAGCGUGGGGAUCAAACAGG